RNAcentral lists this long non-coding RNA (207 nucleotides) under Elaeis guineensis (African oil palm). RNAcentral describes it as "long non-coding RNA (EGUI_LNC038313)". Lineage: Eukaryota; Viridiplantae; Streptophyta; Magnoliopsida; Arecales; Arecaceae. The record is from RNAcentral.
AAGAAAAGGAAGAGACUAAUUGGAUAAUAGAGAGAAGAUGUAAGAAAGAAAGAAGAAAUUAGAAAUCUGAAUGAAUCAAAUCCCCCCGGUGCACCCUCUUUAAAUACUUUGUGAUAGGUUGCCUUCGAAAAUGAUUCGCGCCCCUCCAUGCACCAUCUCACACCCCAAAAAAUUUUUCACACCCCCAGCCAAUUUUCCACACCCAUC